CUCGCCUGCCCAGUGACUCUUUUAAACGGCCGCGGUAUCCUAACCGUGCAAAGGUAGCAUAAUCACUUGUCUCUUAAAUAGAGACUAGAAUGAAUGGCUAAAUGAGGACUAAUCUGUCUCUUACGGACAACCAAUGAAAUUAAUCUUUCAGUACAAAAGCUGAAAUAAAAACAUAAGACGAGAAGACCCUGUGGAGCUUCAAACCAAACACACCCUGCAUGCUCCUCAGGUUUUUAGUUGGGGCGACUUCGGAGCACAAUAAAACCUCCAAAAUUUUUAUCUUCAAGAUUAACAAACCAAAAACUUUAUUAGACCCAGCAAUGUAUGACAUUGUCUGAUCACUGAACCAAGUUACCCCAGGGAUAACAGCGCCAUCCCCUCCUAGAGUUCAUAUCGACAAGGGGGUUUACGACCUCGAUGUUGGAUCAGGACACCCCAAUGGUGCAGCCGCCAUUAAAG
This 459-nucleotide ribosomal RNA is filed under the name Zootoca vivipara (common lizard). Its description in RNAcentral is "partial 16S ribosomal RNA". It matches the Rfam family "Bacterial large subunit ribosomal RNA", at positions 1854 to 2570 of the family's 2925-position model. Lineage: Eukaryota; Metazoa; Chordata; Lepidosauria; Squamata; Lacertidae. The record is from RNAcentral.